UACGGGGGAUGCAAGCGUUAUCCGGAAUUAUUGGGCGUAAAGCGCCUGUAGGUUGUCUGGUAAGUCUGCUGUUAAAGACCAAGGCUUAACCUUGGAAAAGCAAUGGAUACUGCUAGACUAGAGUAUGGUAGGGGUAGAGGGAAUUUCUAGUGUAGCGGUGAAAUGCGUAGAUAUUAGAAAGAACACCGGUGGCGAAAGCGCUCUACUGGGCCAUUACUGACACUCAGAGGCGAAAGCUAGGGGAGCAAAAGGG
Molecule: ribosomal RNA, 253 nt
Filed under: uncultured bacterium
Lineage: Bacteria
Description: partial 16S ribosomal RNA
Rfam family: Bacterial small subunit ribosomal RNA
Source: RNAcentral